This 1484-nucleotide ribosomal RNA is filed under the name uncultured Bordetella sp. RNAcentral describes it as "partial 16S-23S ribosomal RNA intergenic spacer". It matches the Rfam family "Bacterial small subunit ribosomal RNA". Lineage: Bacteria; Pseudomonadati; Pseudomonadota; Betaproteobacteria; Burkholderiales; Alcaligenaceae. The record is from RNAcentral.
CAGGUAACAGAGGGUUCGAUCCUGGCUCAGAUUGAACGCUGGCGGGAUGCUUUACAAUACGCAAGUCGAACGGCAGCACGGACUUCGGUCUGGUGGCGAGUGGCGAACGGGUGAGUAAUGUAUCGGAACGUGCCUAGUAUGGGGAUAACUACGCGAAAGGUGUAGCUAAUACUGCAUACGCUCCUCGGGGAAAGCGGGGGACCUUUCGGGCCUCGCACUAUUAGAGCGGCCGAUAUCGAUUAGCUAGUUGGUGGGGUAACGGCUCACCAAGGCGACGAUCCGUAGCUGGUUUGAGAGGACGACUCAGCCACACUGGGACUGAGACACGACCCAGACUCCUACGGGAGGCAGCAGUGGGAAUUCUUGGACAAUGGGGGAAACCCUGAUCCAGUCAUCCCGCGUGUGCGAUGAAGCGUCUUCGGGUUGUGGAAGCACUUUUGGUGCAGGGAAAGAACGGUAUCGUGGAUAAUACCUCGUGCAACUGACGGUGUCGCAGAAUACACUGGCUAACUACGUGCCAGCAGUCAUAAUACGUAGGUGCAAGCGUUAAUCGGAAUUACCGGGCGUAAAGCGCAAGGCAGGCGGUUCAAAGAAAGACGAAAUCCCAGAGCUUAACUUUGGAACCGCAUUUUUAACUACCGAGCUAGAGUGUACAGAGGAGGAAUUCUGCGCGUGUAGUAGUGAAAUGCGUAGAUAAGGUGAGGAACACCGAUGGCGAAGGCAGCCUCCUGGAUAACACUGACGCUCAUGCACGAAAGCGUGGGGAGCAAACAGGAUUAGAUAAUUCUGGUAGUCCACGCCCUAAACGAUGUCAACUAGCUGUUGGGGGCCUUCGCCUUGGAAGCAGCUAACGCGUGAAGUUGACCGCCUGGGGGAGUACGGUCGCAAGAUUAAAACUCAAAGGACCGAUUUGGGACCGCACAAGCGGUGGAUGAUGUGGAUUAAUUGAUGCAACGCGAAAACCUUACCUACCCUUGACAUGUCUGGAAUCCCGAAGAGAUUUGGGAGUGCUCGCAAGAGAACCGGAACACAGGUGCUGCAUGGCUGUUGGCCGCUCGUGUCGUGAGAUGUUGGGUUGCUCCGCAACGAGCGCAAGCAACCCUUGUCGGCUAGUUGCUACGAAAGGGCACCCUAAUGAGACUGCCGGUGACAAACUGAGGAAGGUGGGAUGACGUCAAGUCCUCAUGGCCCUUGCGUAGGCUCACAUCGUCAUACAAUGGUCGGGACAGAGGCCGCCAACCCGCGAGGGGGAGCCAAUCCCAGAAACCCGAUCGUAGUCCGAUCGCAGUCUGCAACCUGACCGCGUGAAGUCGGAAUCGCCAGUAACCGCGGAUCAGCAUGUCGCGGUGAAUACGUUCCCGGGUCUUGUACACACCGCCCGUCACACCAUGGGAGUGGGUUUUACCAGAAGUAGUUAGCCUAACCGUAAGGAGGGCGAUUACCACGGUAGGAUUCAUGACUGGGGUGAAGUCGUAACAAGGUAA